AUGAUCAAAAAGAUUGUUUUUAUUAUUCAAAAUUUGAAACUUGUUCGAAUUCGAAACAACUCGAAACUUCUUGCUUAUACUGUAUAUAAAUAAGACAGUUGAGAGCGACAGGAAGUGAGUGUUGAAAAGUUUUCAAACUGAAUAAGCCAAUAAGAGCAGAGCAGCAUCACAUUAACAUCUUAAGUUCCAGAGGGUGUAUAUAGUGGUGCAGGAAAUAGAGCAAGAUCAGUAAUUGAUGAGCAGAUUCUCACUAAGGUCAACUGUGAAAGGUUCAGCACAAUGAUUUCUGAAUAUGUAAAACCUAUCCUGAAAGCAGAUGCUUUGAUGUGUAUCAUCCUUGUAGCAGUGGAGUUGCUGCUAGAGAAUGCGUUUGCCUGUCCUUGCAAUCAGAACAACAUUUUUUUCUGCUAUGGGCUUCUUUCUGGUUCAAGUCUCAUCAUCAUUUUUGUCUCAUUGCUCAUCCAGACUCCUCACUACAAGAAACUGAAGGACUGUUGUGGUUGCUCUCUUUUUAACUGUUUGGUCGGCAUAUUUAUGUCAGCGUUGAUUUCCUUGUUAACUUGGCUCACUGUGUGGUACCUUGAUGGACAUUACUCUGUCUGCAAGUGGAGCACCUGGGAUGGCGUUUGGACAGAGAACUCUUUGCAAGCCCCCAACAAAUGGUGCAAGCCUUUAGGUGGCAACAAUACCUUCAUCAAACUGCAAGAACUGAACUCUACAAAGUGGUCCACUGAAUCUCAGGAAAUAUCCAUCAAGCUCUUCGUUGGCCUUACUGGGUGUAUACUUGUCUACACUUCUAUGCUGAUUUAUAUUAGUUAUAAUGAUGGGGAAAAUGUAUGAAUGCAGUGCCUAUUGGUACACACAUGUGUAAAUAAAUGAAUGAAUAGACUUUAUUGUCAUGUCAGGCGUAAAAACGGUCCUCAGUCUCACCAAUACAAUAGACAGUACAAUAUACACAGUAUAGACACAAAUACAUAAAACUGUUCACUGAGACACAACAUAUCCACAGGAUACAUAAUUUUAAAUACAAGUAGGUCUUGGUUGCACACACACAGGCAUUCUCACUCUCACUCCCUCACAGACACAAACACACACACACACUCCUUCCAGACCUGGCCAAACUAGGCUCCCAUGUUUAUUUUUUUCCCGGGUUUAUUGACCGUACUAAAUCCAUUUGGUAAGAAAGAACCUUUUUUCUUUUUCUAUUUUUUGACUUUGCUUAAAGCAGCACUAAAGAUUUGUUCUGGGGGUCCCCCUAGAGUUGAGAAGUGCAAUAACAAAGGCAUGUGUUCCUACAGAAAACUUCCUAGGCUAUUUUUACAAGCGAUAAGACCUGCUCAGAGUGCGGCAGAAGUGCUUUUCCCCUUUUAGGAGUGUAUGUGCCAUCAAAAUGAUUUCCAGAAUGACUCUUAAAAGCAUGCAUAACUAGUAUUGCUGUACAAAUGCUGUAAAAUAUGCUAACAUCUGUCCAAUGACAUGCCAUUUAAUACCUUACAAUGUGAACUCUGGUCAUCAGUUCAUGAACAUACAGAAAACUAUUGUACUAAAUUGACAAAUAAAUGUUAAAAAAAUCUU
Alosa alosa (allis shad) is the source of this 1575-nucleotide long non-coding RNA. RefSeq lists it as uncharacterized. The record is from RefSeq and is a predicted model, not a curated record. NCBI's taxonomy places the organism in Eukaryota, Metazoa, Chordata, Actinopteri, Clupeiformes, Clupeidae. The transcript has 2 exons.